Bombus pascuorum is the source of this 340-nucleotide long non-coding RNA. RefSeq lists it as uncharacterized. The record is from RefSeq and is a predicted model, not a curated record. Lineage: Eukaryota; Metazoa; Arthropoda; Insecta; Hymenoptera; Apidae. The transcript has 2 exons.
AGUACCACCUUGUACCGCUGUAAGGUAUACUAUCGUUGGCAGGUGAUCAUCCGUCUCUGAUCCGGUAGACCGGUCCGAUCGCUUUACGCGUGGGACACGCACGGAACAUCCAGGGCUCCACUUCGUGGCAGCGAUUCACGAGCCGGCAGAAGGCUUCGCGUGCCUUCUCUCUACUGUCAACUGGAAGGGCUGGAGAAGAGAUGCCGGUGAAUUUUCGUGCCCCCUUCCCCUGGUGGACGUCGCAGUUUCGGUCCUACCUGACAGAGGCCAAUCCAGGUGGUGCUCCUCUCGAGCGAGACGAGCUGCCUAGAGCAUGCUAGCCGGCCCAGCAAUGGCAAUA